Long non-coding RNA from Lynx canadensis (Canada lynx), 224 nucleotides. RefSeq lists it as uncharacterized. The record is from RefSeq and is a predicted model, not a curated record. The transcript has 3 exons. Lineage: Eukaryota; Metazoa; Chordata; Mammalia; Carnivora; Felidae.
CAGCGUCAGCCCCGAGGCGGAGCUCCCCUCGGGUUGGUGCUGUCCUUUCCCCUGCGGCCUCUGCUCUGGCGGCAGUACGCGGGCCGAGCUCCAGGCACGUGCGGGAUGACUUGAAAGUAGGGCAUCCUUGGCCUUCCGGAAGAGAGUAAAUUCACGGCACGUGGAUAGUCUGUAUGGCGUUCUCAGAGAAAGAGAGUGCAAGCCGGGGAAGGACAGAUGAUCCA